This 595-nucleotide ribosomal RNA is filed under the name uncultured bacterium. Its description in RNAcentral is "bacterial SSU rRNA". It matches the Rfam family "Bacterial small subunit ribosomal RNA", at positions 338 to 956 of the family's 1533-position model. The record is from RNAcentral.
CCUACGGGAGGCAGCAGUGGGGAAUCUUGCGCAAUGGGCGAAAGCCUGACGCAGCAACGCCGCGUGCGGGAUGAAGGCCUUCGGGUUGUAAACCGCUUUUAACAGGAACGAAAAUGACGGUACCUGUAGAAUAAGGUGCGGCCAACUACGUGCCAGCAGCCGCGGUGACACGUAGGCACCAAGCGUUGUCCGGAUUUAUUGGGCGUAAAGAGCUCGUAGGCGGUUCGAUAAGUCGGGUGUGAAAACUCUGGGCUUAACCCAGAGACGCCACUCGAUACUAUUGUGACUAGAGUUCGGUAGGGGAGCGGGGAAUUCCUAGUGUAGCGGUGAAAUGCGCAGAUAUUAGGAGGAACACCGGUGGCGAAGGCGCCGCUCUGGGCCGAAACUGACGCUGAGGAGCGAAAGCGUGGGUAGCAAACAGGAUUAGAUACCCUGGUAGUCCACGCCGUAAACGGUGGGCACUAGGUGUGGGCUCCAACCAACGGAGUCCGCGCCGUCGCUAACGCAUUAAGUGCCCCGCCUGGGGAUACGGCCGCAAGGUUAAACUCAAAUGAAUUGACGGCUGAGACGNGCGACGACGACGACGAGGGAGAGG